GUGUGGUUUGCUGGCACAGCGUCCGCCCCAAGUAUUUUUCACCCAUGUCUUUUGCGCACUUUUUGUUUCCUGGGCGAGUUCGCUCGCCACCAGGACCCAACCAUAAACCUUUUUUUAUGCAGUUGCAAUCAGCGUCAGUAUAAUAAUUCAAUUUAUUAAAACUUUCAACAACGGAUCUCUUGGUUCUGGCAUCGAUGAAGAACGCAGCGAAAUGCGAUACGUAGUGUGAAUUGCAGAAUUCAGUGAAUCAUCGAAUCUUUGAACGCACAUUGCGCCCUUUGGUAUUCCAAAGGGCAUGCCUGUUCGAGCGUCAUUUGUACCCUCAAGCUUUGCUUGGUGUUGGGCGUCUUUUUGUCUCUCCCCUUGUUGGGGGAGACUCGCCUUAAAACGAUUGGCAGCCGACCUACUGGUUUUCGGAGCGCAGCACAAAUUUGCGCCUUCCAAUCCACGGGGCGGCAUCCAGCAAGCCUUUGUUUUCUAUAACAAAUCCACAUUUUGACCUCGGAUCAGGUAGGGAUACCCGCUGAACUUAAGCAUAUCAAUAAGCGGAGGAA
Molecule: ribosomal RNA, 554 nt
Filed under: Exserohilum rostratum
Lineage: Eukaryota; Fungi; Ascomycota; Dothideomycetes; Pleosporales; Pleosporaceae
Description: eukaryotic LSU rRNA
Rfam family: 5.8S ribosomal RNA (bases 160-313)
Source: RNAcentral